AGGGCCGCACCCGUGGCAUGUGGAGGUUCCCAGGCUAGGGCUCCGUUCGGAGCUGUAGCCGCUGGCCUACGCCACAGCCACAGCAAUGUGGGAUCUGAGCCACGUCUGCAACUUACACCACAGCUCAUGGCAUUGCCAGAUCCCCAACCCACUGAGCAAGGCCAGAGAUCGAACCCACAUCCUCAUGGAUGCUAGUUGAGUUUGUUAACCACUGAGCCACGACAGGAACUCCCUCAUCUAAUAGACUUUGUAACUAGAAUCAAAGUUUCUGUGAUUUGAUGGGAAUUUCAAGUCUGAGCUAUUAAGUGGUAACAAUGACAACAAGAAAAUACUACCCCAAUAUCAGUUCGCAGUAUGUGAUCAAUUAAGGGAAAAAAACCUGAAAUAAUUUUUACUAAAAACAGAGAACCAAGCUUCAGUGUUCACAAUAACAAAAACAAAACUACAGGACACAUUUUGACAACUGAACAGAUACUAGUUAUGCAUUAGCCAAAUUGUUAUUUGCCUCAAACUUUGUUCUAAGACUUGCUACCUUUGGUUAUGAAGCCUCAUUCCCAUUUUCAUUAUACAUUUUACAACAAACGAAAUAGCUCUUGCAGUUCAUAGAACUUCGCUUACAUCCCCAAUUCAAUGUACUCUAAAAUCCCUCUUUUCAGACACGAACACAGGACAGAGGUAGUACAAUCAAUUUUCAGAAUGAGCAGAAGAGUGAUAACCAUCCUAAGUACACAUAGCUCUUCAAGGGGGUGGGGCAAAAACAAACAAACAAACAAAAAAAAAACCCAAAAAACCACAUCCGUAAGAUGACAACUGGAAAUGUUCUUGGCAAGAGGAACAACUUAGGGCUUUUAUUUGUGGAAUGUUUUCAUGAAAAUAACCAUCAAUCUGAAUUUACUGGCUUCCAGUCAUUUUCCUAAAAUCAGGAAAGGACCAACUCUAGUUCAAAUUGUGACUAUUAGAUAUAAUUUUUAAGCAAUUUAACCAAGAAAAUUUUCUUAAGGGCCUCCUAAUACAAAUUUUCCAAGUUUCUAGGCAGAACAAAAAUGCUGCUUGCAGUAUCAGACAAUCAUAGAUACACACACAUUGUGCAAUUGCCUGUUUAUUUAGUGGUACCAGUUUUGCAAACUAGAAUUAUUUCUACUUUUCAUCUCAUACAAUCUGCAACCAUUCACAGGCUGAAUGCAAUUUCUUCAAUGGACUUGAAAAGAAAAAGUACAUUCUUAAAGUUAGAACUGAAUUCACAUGUUUUCUCUGGACCAGGAAAUGGUACAUAAUACAACAUUUACAUUUCUGGAAUUUCUUUAAAAGUCUGGAUCACAUAAACUGCAAACAGUGGGUGAAUUACUGUGGAGAAUUUUGUUAUACACUGUGUUUAGGAGAUAUUUAUGCAAUUGUAUUAGAUUUACAUGUAUGGAAUUUAAAAAGUGAACCUAUAUAAUAAUUCAACAUGCUUUUAAUAUGUAUGUGGUCUCUCCACUCAUAACAUUUAUACAAAUGAAAUGAAUUAUUUCAAGAGUAAAACAAAUCAACAAGUAUUUGGGCAUAACCCUAUAAACAAGAUAUUUUUCCUAUAGAUAUGCCAUUGACUUAAGGGCUAACCAUGUAAGACAACAGUCUCCAUUUCAAAAUGUCCAUAGAUGUGAAAUAAACUGUAACCGAACAUCUCAUUUUGGCAACAAAGCAGCAAGCUAAUCAGUUUUUUCCAUGGUAGUUUUAUUUAACAGAAAUGUCAUUAAUCCUAUACAUUGGUGGCUGUAUGUUAGAUCCUAUUUUAAACAUUCUGCCCCAAUAACUGGGGGCCCACAAGUCACUGCCAAUACUGCAAAUUUUGGGGAGCUAAGUACAUUAUAUAUGCAUUUUCCUAGGAUUAUUCAGUCUCAAAGGGUCUGUGACCCUAAAAGUUUAAGAAGUAUUGCUGCAAUGAAUUUGUACCUAAUUAAGACAGGACUGAUUCUGUUCUGUAGCUAUCCAUCUCCUAACAAAUCUAACUUCAGAUAGUACCAUACAAAUAAAAUGUUACUAAAAGUCCUUUACUAUAUCAAGAGGACUUCAUAAAAAGGAAAAAUUAUAAGCAGUUUUUCUAAAUAAUUCAAUGAGAAAGCUAUAAUAGAAAACUGGGGUUUGGAACAAUGAAAAAAAUGAAGGAUUCGGUUUUGUGGUGAAGAAACAUUGCAUUUAUUUUUCUCAGUUGUUUCUAUGUUAGAGAAGCAAUAAUUUUUAUCAUUAUCUGCCUUCCAGGAAAAAGCAAAUUAUCUGCAUAAGUAAAGGUUGAUUCUUGCUGGUUUAUAUGACAGCUAGAUCCAAGGAAGACCUUCCUAUGGCUUUUUUAAAUAAUAGUAGUCUUCCUCUGUCCUCAUGGGCAUCUUCCCACCUUUCCGGUUCCCACAUUUUCUUAUUUUUGACCCAAUUUAAUAUAGUAUUAAUUGGCCUUGGUGAGGUAAUGCACUAAGCUUUCUUGCUCAAUAAAAUGGAAUUGGCCGUAUUCGGUCUAAAAAAAGAGACGCCACCAAGAGGGUAGUAGAGGAAAUUAAGCAACAUUUCCUGCAGGAUAAGGGAGGAAAAAAGUCACGCCGUUGUUAUAUAAAUUUAAACAACCUUUCCCUCCCCAUCUAAUAAAAGUAUAAGUUGUCAACUACAGUUUGUUUUAAUCCAUCUGAGUGUUUUCUAAUUGGCACACUCCUACCUGUUGGUACUAUAAUUAGGAAAACAUGAGAGCAGAGGCCACUAAAUAUAUUAGGCAGGUAAAAGGGAAAGAAUCUGUGGCAAAGGGCACAAAAGUGGAACCCGGUGCCUCUCAUCAUCUCUGUAGUGUUCGAUCAGUAUUAACUAACACUUACCUGAGACUGACUACUCUCACCAACAAUACAGUAUUAUACCGAUAACAUUUAGAAAAUGCAUUCUUAAAUAGUUCAAGCAUAUUCUGAAGUAUUGUAUAUAACAUUUAAAACAAUAAAACCCCCAUUUCAUGGCACAUUAUUGAAGGAAAUUAAAAUUAGGCUUCUAAAAUUUAAAGUAAAAAGAAUCUUUCUGAUGCCAAAAAGAAAACUUAAUUAAAAAAUGUUCAGCAGUAUUUUAAACAAAAGGAUAUGAAGCUCUAAAAGUUCCCUUUGAAGAAAAACCUCAAAUGAGAUUUAUAUACUGAAAUAUUUACAUAUUUUCAAAUACCAAAUCCUAACAAUACUGUACAAAUGGCAAUCAAAACAUUAGUUUAAAUCUCUCAAACUUAUGAAUUAAAAUUGUACACCAUGAAGUUCAGAAAUUAAAAAAUCAUAAGCAAUUUCAUCAGUUCUUUCAAAAACCAACUGAAUUUCCAUAUGAAUUUGUCCAUAAAGAUGGGCAAUUUUUUGUUGGUUGUGCCCAUGGCCUGCGAAAGUUCCUGGGCCAGGGAUCGAACUUGUGCCACAUCACGACCCAAGCUCUGCAAUGACAACGCCAGAUCUUUAACCUGCCAUGCCACAAGGGAAUUCCUUAUCUUUAAAAAUUAAAACACAGUACUCAUUUGGUUAAAACUGGAUGUUAACACUGGCAGUGUGUUUUCAGGAAAAGUUUUACUUAAAUUUAACUCUCUCUAUAUAAUUUUUUAAAAAAAUGCCAUAAAACUCCACCAGUAUUUCUAACGCUAGAGACUUCUAAGAAAUUCAUUACCUAUUUCUCUGAUUAUUUAUUGUCAGCAGGAAGAGUAAAGGCCAUUUGCAAAAGGCAACCAAGCAUUCUGAAAAGAGGCUCAUUAGACCAAUUUUAUUCCUAUGUAUUAAGCAAAAGUUUCUUGUAAAUGAGAUUUAACUUUGAGAAGAAAAGGGUUUUCAAGUGAAUAAAGGAACUGCAAAUGAGC
Molecule: long non-coding RNA, 3832 nt
Filed under: Sus scrofa (pig)
Lineage: Eukaryota; Metazoa; Chordata; Mammalia; Artiodactyla; Suidae
Description: lncRNA (ENSSSCG00000060976.1)
Source: RNAcentral